RNAcentral lists this ribosomal RNA (302 nucleotides) under uncultured bacterium. RNAcentral describes it as "partial 16S ribosomal RNA". It matches the Rfam family "Bacterial small subunit ribosomal RNA", at positions 508 to 809 of the family's 1533-position model. The record is from RNAcentral.
GCAGUAGCCGCGGUAAUACGGAGGAUCCAAGCGUUAUCCGGAAUCAUUGGGUUUAAAGGGUCCGUAGGCGGUCUUGUAAGUCAGUGGUGAAAGCCCAUCGCUCAACGGUGGAACGGCCAUUGAUACUGCAGGACUUGAAUUAUUGGGAAGUAACUAGAAUAUGUAGUGUAGCGGUGAAAUGCUUAGAGAUUACAUGGAAUACCAAUUGCGAAGGCAGGUUACUACCAAUUGAUUGACGCUGAUGGACGAAAGCGUGGGUAGCGAACAGGAUUAGAUACCCGAGUAGUACCUGUCUCUUAUAA